Molecule: ribosomal RNA, 109 nt
Organism: Cercocebus atys (sooty mangabey)
Lineage: Eukaryota; Metazoa; Chordata; Mammalia; Primates; Cercopithecidae
Source: Ensembl
GUCUAUGGCUAUACCACCCUGAACAUGACUGAUCUCAGAGGCUAAACAGGGUUGGGCCUGGUGAGUACUUGAGUGGGAGACUGCCUGGGAAUACCGGGUGUUGUAGGCU